This 253-nucleotide ribosomal RNA is filed under the name uncultured bacterium. Its description in RNAcentral is "partial 16S ribosomal RNA". It matches the Rfam family "Bacterial small subunit ribosomal RNA", at positions 524 to 776 of the family's 1533-position model. The record is from RNAcentral.
UACGGAGGGGGUUAGCGUUGUUCGGAAUGACUGGGCGUAAAGGGCGCGUAGGCGGGAUGGCAAGUCGGUCGUGAAAUCCCUCGGCUCAACUGAGGUACGUCGAUCGAUACUGCCGUUCUUGAGGGUUGCAGAGGAGACUGGAAUUCCCGGUGUAGCGGUGAAAUGUGUAGAGAUCGGGAGGAACACCGGUGGCGAAGGCGGGUCUCUGGGCAACUCCUGACGCUGAGGCGCGAAAGCGUGGGGAGCAAACGGG